This 2903-nucleotide ribosomal RNA is filed under the name Enterobacter hormaechei subsp. hoffmannii UCICRE 9. Its description in RNAcentral is "bacterial LSU rRNA". It matches the Rfam family "Bacterial large subunit ribosomal RNA". The record is from RNAcentral. Lineage: Bacteria; Pseudomonadati; Pseudomonadota; Gammaproteobacteria; Enterobacterales; Enterobacteriaceae.
UUAAGCGACUAAGCGUACACGGUGGAUGCCCUGGCAGUCAGAGGCGAUGAAGGACGUGCUAAUCUGCGAAAAGCGCCGGCGAGGUGAUAUGAACCUUUGACCCGGCGAUGUCCGAAUGGGGAAACCCAGUGCAAUCCGUUGCACUAUCGUUAACUGAAUACAUAGGUUAACGAGGCGAACCGGGGGAACUGAAACAUCUAAGUACCCCGAGGAAAAGAAAUCAACCGAGAUUCCCCCAGUAGCGGCGAGCGAACGGGGAGCAGCCCGGAGUCUGAAUCAGCUUGUGUGUUAGUGGAACGGUCUGGAAAGUCCGACGGUACAGGGUGAUAGUCCCGUACACGAAAGCACACAUGCUGUGAACUCGAAGAGUAGGGCGGGACACGUGGUAUCCUGUCUGAAUAUGGGGGGACCAUCCUCCAAGGCUAAAUACUCCUGACUGACCGAUAGUGAACCAGUACCGUGAGGGAAAGGCGAAAAGAACCCCGGCGAGGGGAGUGAAAAAGAACCUGAAACCGUGUACGUACAAGCAGUGGGAGCCUCUUUAUGGGGUGACUGCGUACCUUUUGUAUAAUGGGUCAGCGACUUAUAUUCUGUAGCAAGGUUAACCGUAUAGGGGAGCCGAAGGGAAACCGAGUCUUAACUGGGCGUUAAGUUGCAGGGUAUAGACCCGAAACCCGGUGAUCUAGCCAUGGGCAGGUUGAAGGUUGGGUAACACUAACUGGAGGACCGAACCGACUAAUGUUGAAAAAUUAGCGGAUGACCUGUGGCUGGGGGUGAAAGGCCAAUCAAACCGGGAGAUAGCUGGUUCUCCCCGAAAGCUAUUUAGGUAGCGCCUCGUGAACUCAUCUUCGGGGGUAGAGCACUGUUUCGGCUAGGGGGCCAUCCCGGCUUACCAACCCGAUGCAAACUACGAAUACCGAAGAAUGUUAUCACGGGAGACACACGGCGGGUGCUAACGUCCGUCGUGAAGAGGGAAACAACCCAGACCGCCAGCUAAGGUCCCAAAGUCAUGGUUAAGUGGGAAACGAUGUGGGAAGGCACAGACAGCCAGGAUGUUGGCUUAGAAGCAGCCAUCAUUUAAAGAAAGCGUAAUAGCUCACUGGUCGAGUCGGCCUGCGCGGAAGAUGUAACGGGGCUAAACCAUGCACCGAAGCUGCGGCAGCGACACUAUGUGUUGUUGGGUAGGGGAGCGUUCUGUAAGCCGUUGAAGGUGUCCUGUGAGGGGUGCUGGAGGUAUCAGAAGUGCGAAUGCUGACAUAAGUAACGAUAAAGCGGGUGAAAAGCCCGCUCGCCGGAAGACCAAGGGUUCCUGUCCAACGUUAAUCGGGGCAGGGUGAGUCGACCCCUAAGGCGAGGCCGAAAGGCGUAGUCGAUGGGAAACAGGUUAAUAUUCCUGUACUUGGUGUUACUGCGAAGGGGGGACGGAGAAGGCUAUGUCAGCCGGGCGACGGUUGUCCCGGUUUAAGCAUGUAGGCGGAGGUUCCAGGUAAAUCCGGUACCUUGUUAACGCUGAGGUGUGAUGACGAGGCACUACGGUGCUGAAGUGAUAAAUGCCCUGCUUCCAGGAAAAGCCUCUAAGCAUCAGGUAACACGAAAUCGUACCCCAAACCGACACAGGUGGUCAGGUAGAGAAUACCAAGGCGCUUGAGAGAACUCGGGUGAAGGAACUAGGCAAAAUGGUGCCGUAACUUCGGGAGAAGGCACGCUGAUAUGUAGGUGAAGUCCCUGCGGACGGAGCUGAAAUCAGUCGAAGAUACCAGCUGGCUGCAACUGUUUAUUAAAAACACAGCACUGUGCAAACACGAAAGUGGACGUAUACGGUGUGACGCCUGCCCGGUGCCGGAAGGUUAAUUGAUGGGGUUAGCGGCAACGCGAAGCUCUUGAUCGAAGCCCCGGUAAACGGCGGCCGUAACUAUAACGGUCCUAAGGUAGCGAAAUUCCUUGUCGGGUAAGUUCCGACCUGCACGAAUGGCGUAAUGAUGGCCAGGCUGUCUCCACCCGAGACUCAGUGAAAUUGAACUCGCUGUGAAGAUGCAGUGUACCCGCGGCAAGACGGAAAGACCCCGUGAACCUUUACUAUAGCUUGACACUGAACACUGGUCCUUGAUGUGUAGGAUAGGUGGGAGGCUUUGAAGCGUGGACGCCAGUCUGCGUGGAGCCAACCUUGAAAUACCACCCUUUAAUGGCUGGUGUUCUAACGUAGACCCGUAAUCCGGGUUGCGGACAGUGUCUGGUGGGUAGUUUGACUGGGGCGGUCUCCUCCCAAAGAGUAACGGAGGAGCACGAAGGUUGGCUAAUCCUGGUCGGACAUCAGGAGGUUAGUGCAAUGGCAUAAGCCAGCUUGACUGCGAGCGUGACGGCGCGAGCAGGUGCGAAAGCAGGUCAUAGUGAUCCGGUGGUUCUGAAUGGAAGGGCCAUCGCUCAACGGAUAAAAGGUACUCCGGGGAUAACAGGCUGAUACCGCCCAAGAGUUCAUAUCGACGGCGGUGUUUGGCACCUCGAUGUCGGCUCAUCACAUCCUGGGGCUGAAGUAGGUCCCAAGGGUAUGGCUGUUCGCCAUUUAAAGUGGUACGCGAGCUGGGUUUAGAACGUCGUGAGACAGUUCGGUCCCUAUCUGCCGUGGGCGCUGGAGAAUUGAGGGGGGCUGCUCCUAGUACGAGAGGACCGGAGUGGACGCAUCACUGGUGUUCGGGUUGUCAUGCCAAUGGCACUGCCCGGUAGCUAAAUGCGGAAGAGAUAAGUGCUGAAAGCAUCUAAGCACGAAACUUGCCCCGAGAUGAGUUCUCCCUGAGACCUUGAGUCUCCUGAAGGAACGUUGAAGACUACGACGUUGAUAGGUCGGGUGUGUAAGCGCAGCGAUGCGUUGAGCUAACCGAUACUAAUGAACCGUGAGGCUUAACCUU